Molecule: ribosomal RNA, 535 nt
Filed under: uncultured bacterium
Lineage: Bacteria
Description: partial 16S ribosomal RNA
Rfam family: Bacterial small subunit ribosomal RNA
Source: RNAcentral
UGGGGAAUAUUGCACAAUGGGCGCAAGCCUGAUGCAGCAACGCCGCGUGAGGGAUGACGGCCUUCGGGUUGUAAACCUCUUUUAGCAGGGAAGAAGCGAAAGUGACGGUACCUGCAGAAAAAGCACCGGCUAACUACGUGCCAGCAGCCGCGGUAAUACGUAGGGUGCAAGCGUUGUCCGGAAUUAUUGGGCGUAAAGAGCUCGUAGGCGGUCUGUCGCGUCUGCUGUGAAAUCCCGAGGCUCAACCUCGGGCCUGCAGUGGGUACGGGCAGACUAGAGUGCGGUAGGGGAGAAUGGAACUCCUGGUGUAGCGGUGGAAUGCGCAGAUAUCAGGAAGAACACCGAUGGCGAAGGCAGUUCUCUGGGCCGUAACUGACGCUGAGGAGCGAAAGCGUGGGGAGCGAACAGGAUUAGAUACCCUGGUAGUCCACGCCGUAAACGUUGGGCGCUAGAUGUGGGGCACCAUUCCACGGUUUCCGUGUCGCAGCUAACGCAUUAAGCGCCCCGCCUGGGGAGUACGGCCGCAAGGCUAAAA